UUCGGAUAUGGCCCUCUUCGUGAGCGCCUGGCCUUUAGAAAAAUUUUUUUUUGUGUUACUGGUUCAGGGCCAGACUCAACGGAAGAAUCCAGAACCUCAACCCUAGUAUCCCUAAAACAUGAAGCAGAUGACAGCAGUGACUGUGCUCCUGAUCCUGGGCACUGGGAGCCUUGCUAAGACCACUCAGCCCUUCUCCGUGGACUCCUAUGAGGGACAAGAGGUGAACUUGUCCUGCACCCACCCCAACAUCGCUACAAAUGAGUACAUCUUCUGGUACCGACAAGCCCACCACCAGGGGCCACGGUUUAUUAUCCAGGGAUAUAAGACAAACGUGGCCAAUGAAGUGGCAUCUCUAUUCAUCCCUGAGGAUAGGAAGUCCAGCAUCCUGAGCCUGCCCCAGGCUGCUCUGAGAGACACUGCUGUCUACUACUGCAUC
Molecule: non-coding RNA, 436 nt
Organism: Chinchilla lanigera (long-tailed chinchilla)
Lineage: Eukaryota; Metazoa; Chordata; Mammalia; Rodentia; Chinchillidae
Source: the annotation of a RefSeq genome assembly